This 372-nucleotide ribosomal RNA is filed under the name uncultured organism. Its description in RNAcentral is "bacterial SSU rRNA". It matches the Rfam family "Bacterial small subunit ribosomal RNA", at positions 526 to 896 of the family's 1533-position model. The record is from RNAcentral.
CAGAGGGUGCAAACGUUGUUCGGAAUUACUGGGCGUAAAGCGCGUGUAGGUGGCAAGGCAAGUCGGGUGUGAAAGCCCUGGGCUCAACCCAGGAAGUGCACUCGAUACUGCCUCGCUAGAGUCCCGGAGAGGUUGGUGGAACUCUCGGUGUAGAGGUGAAAUUCGUAGAUAUCGAGAAGAACACCGGUGGCGAAGGCGGCCAACUGGACGGUGACAGACACUGAGACGCGAAAGCGUGGGGAGCAAACAGGAUUAGAUACCCUGGUAGUCCACGCCGUAAACGAUGGGUGCUAGGUGUCACGGGUAUUGACCCCUGUGGCGCCGUAGCUAACGCAUUAAGCACCCCGCCUGGGAAGUACGGCCGCAAGGCUA